Molecule: transfer RNA, 76 nt
Filed under: Bacteroidota bacterium
Lineage: Bacteria; Pseudomonadati; Bacteroidota
Description: Bacteroidetes bacterium tRNA-Lys
Rfam family: tRNA
About the family: Transfer RNA (tRNA) molecules are approximately 80 nucleotides in length. Their secondary structure includes four short double-helical elements and three loops (D, anti-codon, and T loops). Further hydrogen bonds mediate the characteristic L-shaped molecular structure. tRNAs have two regions of fundamental functional importance: the anti-codon, which is responsible for specific mRNA codon recognition, and the 3' end, to which the tRNAs corresponding amino acid is attached (by aminoacyl-tRNA synthetases). tRNAs cope with the degeneracy of the genetic code in two manners: having more than one tRNA (with a specific anti-codon) for a particular amino acid; and 'wobble' base-pairing, i.e. permitting non-standard base-pairing at the 3rd anti-codon position.
Source: RNAcentral
GAUCGAGUAGCUCAGUUGGUAGAGCAACGGCCUUUUAAGCCGUGGGUCCUGGGUUCGAGCCCCAGCUCGGUCACAA